RNAcentral lists this antisense RNA (69 nucleotides) under Actinosynnema mirum DSM 43827. RNAcentral describes it as "ASpks TB sRNA". It matches the Rfam family "ASpks TB sRNA". Lineage: Bacteria; Bacillati; Actinomycetota; Actinomycetes; Pseudonocardiales; Pseudonocardiaceae. The record is from Rfam by way of RNAcentral.
CUUGAUCGAGCCCAGCCACAGCGGCUCGGCGCGGUCCUGGCCGUAGGUGGCGAUGACGGCCUGGGCCUC